RNAcentral lists this ribosomal RNA (497 nucleotides) under uncultured bacterium. Its description in RNAcentral is "partial 16S ribosomal RNA". It matches the Rfam family "Bacterial small subunit ribosomal RNA", at positions 28 to 507 of the family's 1533-position model. The record is from RNAcentral.
GAUGAACGCUGGCGGCGUGCCUAAUACAUGCAAGUCGAGCGAACAGACGAGGAGCUUGCUCCUCUGACGUUAGCGGCGGACGGGUGAGUAACACGUGGAUAACCUACCUAUAAGACUGGGAUAACUUCGGGAAACCGGAGCUAAUACCGGAUAAUAUAUUGAACCGCAUGGUUCAAUAGUGAAAGACGGUUUUGCUGUCACUUAUAGAUGGAUCCGCGCCGCAUUAGCUAGUUGGUAAGGUAACGGCUUACCAAGGCGACGAUGCGUAGCAGACCUGAGAGGGUGAUCGGCCACACUGGAACUGAGACACGGUCCAGACUCCUACGGGAGGCAGCAGUAGGGAAUCUUCCGCAAUGGGCGAAAGCCUGACGGAGCAACGCCGCGUGAGUGAUGAAGGUCUUCGGAUCGUAAAACUCUGUUAUUAGGGAAGAACAAAUGUGUAAGUAACUAUGCACGUCUUGACGGUACCUAAUCAGAAAGCCACGGCUAACUACGUG